This 433-nucleotide ribosomal RNA is filed under the name uncultured bacterium. RNAcentral's name for it is "partial 16S ribosomal RNA". It matches the Rfam family "Bacterial small subunit ribosomal RNA", at positions 29 to 507 of the family's 1533-position model. The record is from RNAcentral.
AACGAACGCUGGCGGCAUGCCUAACACAUGCGAGUCGAACGAGACCUUCGGGUCUAGUGGCGCACGGGUGCGUAACGCGUGGGAACCUGCCCUUAGGUUCGGAAUAACUCCCCGAAAGGGGUGCUAAUACCGGAUAAUGUCUUCGGACCAAAGAUUUAUCGCCUUUGGAUGGGCCCGCGUUGGAUUAGCUAAUUGGUAGGGUAAAAGCCUACCAAGGCGACGAUCCAUAGCUGGUCUGAGAGGAUGAUCAGCCACACUGGGACUGAGACACGGCCCAGACUCCUACGGGAGGCAGCAGUGGGGAAUAUUGGACAAUGGGCGAAAGCCUGAUCCAGCAAUGCCGCGUGAGUGAUGAAGGCCUUAGGGUUGUAAAGCUCGUUUACCCGGGAUGAUAAUGACAGUACCGGGAGAAUAAGCUCCGGCUAACUCCGUG